Molecule: ribosomal RNA, 594 nt
Filed under: uncultured bacterium
Lineage: Bacteria
Description: bacterial SSU rRNA
Rfam family: Archaeal small subunit ribosomal RNA
Source: RNAcentral
GUGAUAGGGGGACCCUGAGUGCUCAGUUAUACUGGGCUUUUGCCAAAAUUAAAACCCUUGGCGAAUAAGUGGUGGGUAAGACAGGUGCCAGCCGCCGCGGUAACACCUGCGCCACAAGUGGCAAUCGGUAUUAUUGGGCCUAAAGCGUCCGUAGCAGGUCAAGUAAAUCUCUUGUGAAAUUGUCAAGCUCAACUUGGCAACGUGCAUGAGACACUACUUGACUAGGGACCGGGAGGAGUCAGAGGUAUUCCAUGGGGAGCGGUAAAAUGCUAUAAUCCAUGGAGGACCACCUAUGGCGAAGGCAUCUGACUAGAACGGAUCCGACUGUGAGGGACGAAAGCCAGGGGAGCGAACCGGAUUAGAUAUCAAAAAUUUGCCCAAAUUUUUGGGAUCUAUUAAAAAAUUCUCAAUGUUCGAAAACUACUAUUUGAGAAUGGAAGAAUAGAUUUACAAUGUGAAUUUUUGACUAGAUACCCGAGUAGUCCUGGCUGUAAACGCUGCGAGCUAGGUGUUACGCAAUCUUCGCGAUUGCGUAGUAUCGGAGCGAAGGUGUUAAGCUCGCCGCCUGGGAAGUACGGUCGCAAGGCUGAAACU